Long non-coding RNA from Pipra filicauda (Wire-tailed manakin), 5069 nucleotides. RefSeq lists it as uncharacterized. The record is from RefSeq and is a predicted model, not a curated record. NCBI's taxonomy places the organism in Eukaryota, Metazoa, Chordata, Aves, Passeriformes, Pipridae. The transcript is spliced from 4 exons.
UUGAGAUGAAGUGAGGCAAAUUUAUUGCUGGAUUACUGUCACUUAAUUAAAAAACCAACCAAACAAAAAAUACCCCACCAACAAACAGCAACCAAAAAAACCCCACAUGCAACCCUAGGAAAGAAUUUAUUUCUUUUUUUUAGAACUGCAGUCUUAAACAUGAAUGCAAAAUUUCACUGUUACUUCAAGAGAGGAGCAGUCAAGGUGUAUUCUCUUAAUUCUUCUUCAUCUGACCACACAAUAACCUCAACUGAGUUGAGUGAAUUAACUGAAUAUGCCUGAAGCAAAUAAUAAGCAUUCCUGACUUCUGUGUAUGUGUGGAGAGCCUGCUCCUAUGGAAUUUCGGUUGUGCAUCUUCAGCAGAGCUCUUACUUUCAGGGGUUCGGAAGAAUCUAACAGAGCUGCCUGCAUACAUGAUUCCCAGCUUUCAUCAAGAUCUUCUUAAGACACAAGGAUGGAGAUAGCCCUGUUAGUUUGCAGAAGUUGUUUAUUGUGAACUGGCUAGAAGGCUUAUUGUAAUGAAGUGGAGUGCUUGGGUCCAUGCUGUGAGAAUCUUUCAUUGAGAUGAUUGAAAUCGCUGCAGUGAGAAUGGAAAUUACUUGGGCUCCUUUCCUUUUAAAAGCUGCAUGCAAGAACUGUGUGGUGAGUCAAAUGUAGACUAAUGGUUAUGUAAAUGUCACUAAUUUUAGAUACAGAUCUGAAAGUGUGUUUCCUUUUAAGAUUUUAUUUUCUUCACUAUCAUGACUCAGUAUCACUUGCUAAUCUAAUUUUAUUAGCCCUGUUGUAUUUUACCAUUUAAAAUACACAUGCCUUCUUCAAUUAAAUGCUCACAGAGUCAAGUUUAUAUAUCAUAUAGAUGUUUUAAAAGGAGGAAAAAAGCUUAUCUGCACUGGAGAUUUGUUUUCACUUCAGCCUUCACAAGCCUGCUACUGGUGCAGUUGCACAGGUACAAACAUGAUGUAGAUGAAUAUGAAUCCAAGUUUUUAUAAUUCAUAAAUUUGCAUUAUUUGACUGUAUAGAAUUUCAGCCUGGUGUAUGCGCUGCUAAAAAUUACGCUUUUCUUGUUUGCUACUGCUACGGAUUUGAACUGUUGAAACUACUGAUGGCUAAAAUUUCCAACUUAGUUCAGACCUGAGCAGUUCUCAGCAGCAAACCUACGCAUAAUUAGAUAGCCUACGUCUUUUCAUAAAGAACACUUCCAUGUGUACCUUUACCUAUUACAGCUCUCCUAAGAUACGUGACCAAACUGAGGUUGAUUAUUUAGAAAAAAUAUGCUAUCUGGCUCAAAGGUGAAUAGCUUUCUCACUGAAUUUCUUGAAGUAGCACUAUGUUAUAUUUGCUUAUCUUUAACUGCUUAACAUUGAAGACCUGCACAUACAUUUCAGCCAUUUGAAAACUUAGAAUUGCUUGGCUAGACCAGAUUCUGUGAGUUAUAAAAGAAAAAGAUGUUAUUCUUCUACUAUGCCACGUCCUUUAAAGAUCACUGAUUUUUGUCAGCCCACUGCAGACUUCUGCUUGCAGGGGGCCAUCCAUCCUGUUGCUCUUGUAGAUCUGGUAUUUUAAUAUAUCCAGGAUUUUUCCCAGGGACUUGUAUGAGUAGAUAUGAAUCUAAGGAGCUGAUCAGAAAGACUUGAAAGCAUGCAACAAGUCUAUUUGCAUGGCUUUGUCAAAGUCCAGUGGCCAAACCGUGUGUUCCUGACUACUUCAUUGUGCCCAUGUAGGCCUUUAUAGGAACAGACUGCUUCCUUCUGGUUCACCAUGCAAACCCGUAUCACUGGCACAAAGCAGGAGAUGGCAGGGAAUGGGAAGAAGCAGAAGGACAAAGGUUGGACCACCUUCUUUGUUGGCCCUAGCAACUUCGAACAGUUCAGUGACAGGACAAAAACACAAUUUGAGCACUUGCAGAACCAGAGUUCAACUGAGGAACCAAAGUUCCUGUCAAGAUUAAGAAAAUGACUUGAAGUGCUUAUGAAGGCCUACUCAAAUUAUUUGGAUCCUAAACCUUUGGAAAGGAUGUUGUAUUUCUCGCAUGGUUCACAGGUGACUUAAAUAAUAUUAGCAGUUAUAUUUUCCAGAAGUUUGCCUGCAUGGAUGGUGCCAUAGGCUGUGACCAAAUCAAACCCCCUCUGCCUUGCAACUCUGGGAUCCUAAGGAUUGUGCCUGAUGUGAGAAAGGAAGGCUCACUGGUUUUAGUUCAGGUGCUUAUUUUCUGCUAGGCUUAGGAACUGCACAGGAAAAAGAUGCCUAAUUCAAAUAAAAGAGAAAGAAAAGGAAGGCCUGCUUGAAAAUAAACUGAGACUAGUAGCUAUAUAGGUGUGAAGAUGUCUAGUGAGAGGAGCAUGUCUGAAAAUCUGAUAUUGAAAGAUUUGAGCUGAGAACUAAUAGGGGAAAGACAGAUCUGAUAAACUGGAAAAUCUGAAGGAUUGAAAUAGUUUAGGCAAAGAUUUGGGGUUUGUUUCUUGAAAUUGGAAGAAGCAGCAGCCUGACAGAAGGGAUCUGGCUUGAAGCAAAGAGAACAAGUCAGGCUUGGGGGAAAGGGCUCGCACACUUCAGAUCAUUCCUAACAUUCACUAGGGUAUUCUGCACUUGAGAUCCAGAAGGGAAUGUAGACUAUUAAGUAGUAGCUUUUGCUGUCAUCUGCAAAAUGACUGUCAAAUUCAUUCCCCUCAUCAUAUUCCACAUAGAAAAGAGCAAGCUUAUUAGUACCCUCAGCUACUACUUUGUGGAUUUUGGUCCUGAAAAGGAAUCCCAAAAUAACAGAGUAGUUAAGGUAGGAAAGGACCUCUGGAGAUCAUCUAAUUCAAGCAGGGUCGGGCAGAGCAGCUUCUUUAGGGCUGUGUCCAGUCAACUUUUGAAUAUCUUCAAGGAUGGAGAAUCUACAACCUGUCCUGUUGAGACAGAAUUUCAUGCAGUUCAUUUUGUACCUGUUGCCUUCUGUCCUAUCACUGGACACAACGGAGAAGAGCCUGCCUAUGUCUUCUUUACUGUCCCUUUCCUCCAUCAGCAGGUGUUUAGAAACUUUGAUAAGAUCACACAAACACAAAUUUUUUCUUCUCCAGGCUGGAGUCUCAGCUCUCUCGGCCUUUCUUCAUGUGAAAGAUUGUUCAGUUCUCUCAUCAUCUUUGUGGAAGUAAAUAAAAUACUUCAACUAACAAGGGGAAUUAAAAUUCAAAGGGGGAAAUGUUUUUGUGGGGAAAAUAAGCAAAACACAACCUGAUAACUGUAAAAAGAACAUGAAGAUCACAAAAUGAAAAGGUAAGAGGUUAGGUAACUCCUACUUUAAGAUUCUGCAAUCUUCAUUUGCCCCCUUGUGUCAGUGUACUAUGAAGCAAUCUUUGUGACCACACAGAAUAUUCAACCUAAUGAUAGGACUGGCCAGGUGUGGGUGCUGGGCCAGGGAAGAUGUUUUUGGGCAGUGCCAGCAAGAAGCUUAAUGCUGCUAUAGGUGCUGCAGAUUAGUAGAAAAUUCUGUAGGCAAUGGAAUAACUGCUACAAGUAGAGGAAACCAUGCCUUCGUGGUCACGUCAAGUGAGAAUUCCUAAGAAUUGGAUGAGGUGUUUAUUUUUCUGCCUUUAUUCUUAUAUGAUGCUAAACAAGUUACUGGGCCUUGGCUUCUGUAAUACUUGUAUUCCUCUUUAAUUUAGAGGUGUCUAACUUAAGACUCUUAUGUCUGAAGGAAACACUGGCAGUUUAUAUUUGUAGGUGAGUUUCUUGGGAGUUGUCAUUUGAAUUAAAAUAUUCUGUAAUGUUAUGUCUCCCAACAGCCUCCUAUGUUGUUAAAGCAUACCUCAAACUGUGGCAUACUAUGAUAGUUUCUACACCUCCAUGUCAUAUUUAAAAUAGGGAUAAUAGAAACUUAGCUGAAGGGCUGUUGGGGUUUGGUUGUUUAAAAAAACAAAACACUUUUGUUUAGUAGCUGUACUAGAGUACAUUUCCUUGUGGACUUUUCUAUGGCAUUCUUCAAUUCUGAUUUUAGAGGAAGAGGUGAGUAUUGUGCAUCUUUUUAAAGACAAGAUCUGCAAUCAACUUUUCUUGUUGCCAGCUCAAGUUGAGAAGCAGAGUUUCCAUGUUGUUUAUUCAUGGUCUAUUUGUGCAGUCCUGUGAACUCCAAAAUACUCUGAUUUUUGUCCUCUUGUCACUGAUUCAUUUUGCAAAUGUAACUCUUAUUAUUAAAUACUUGUACCAUUUUUGAAUGUCGUUUACAGAAUAUUGAAGAUGUUACUUCUGAAAAUAUUCUAUACACUGAAGGUAAUGUUCAUGUUUCAGUUUCAUCAUGUUUGACAAUAAAUUUACCUGUGAAGACCUAUUUUGCAGAAAGAAUAAACUAGUUGUACAGUGGUAAGCAGUGCAUUGUUGAAAAUGUAAAGUGACUUAGACCUGUGUAUUUAGCACUUCUACAGGCCAUUGUUCUUCAAAUUUCAAAAGCAGUUUUCUUGGUACUGCACAUGGCACACUUUGCUGAGUGAGAGUGGCCUGUACUGAGUAUUUGGAUACAGAGAUCUGAAAAUGUUUCAGCUUUUCCCUUAGUCAUGGUAUCUUGUUAAGUAUUGAGGGAAGUCUGUCCUAGACAGGUAGCAAUACUAACAGUAAUGAUGGAAAUUUGAAAUGUUUAGACUUCCUUUAUCUUCUUCAUCACAGCCUGUCACAGAAAUCACAAGAAAUGAUACAAAUAUAUCCAAAGUGGUGAGCUGCUAUUUUACCACAGUGUAACUUGAAGCUGAGCAGCAAUUCUUCAUGUAAGAAACAAGUAAACAAAAAGUUUAAAAUGUAUUUGAAGGAAAACACUAUGUCUGAGAUAUAUGUGAAUCUCCUUUCUAAGGUGGAAGUUGCGUGUAUCAGAAUAAAAUGUUUACCUAUAAAGAGAAAUAAGAAAGAAUUAUGGAAAAAAUGCAGUAGCACGAGUGACAAUGCUCAUCUUUCUGUGAGGGGGAUAAUAAUGUUUGGAGUACUUUUCACUACACAGUUGAUUUCUGUUAGAAUUUAUUUAAUGGCUUUCAGGUGCAAUUUUUUUCCACAUUUUAUUCACUUAUAAUAGCUCUGUAUUUGUUAAUAAAUCAAAUUUGAAUUUA